UGUCAAGGUAAUAAAAAAAUUGCACCUCUCUAUAAGAGAAAGUAGGGGCAUUAUGGGAAAUUCACUCCAUCCAAUAAAUAAAAGUCCCAUCCCACCGUCUCCCCUUCAAGUGAGUACCCAAGCAGCAACUGCAACAUCACAGCACAGCAGCCAUUCAACUCCCUCUAGCUCCUUUUCUCUCUCUACCACCCUCCAAGAAGUCCAUCUCCGAUCCCCCUAUCUUUCUUCCCGAUGGCCCAGCUGGAUCAGGAGUAAUGUGAGGGAAGGAAAACCAAGACCAAAACCAAAAAAGAGAAGGGAUGAAAGAUAAGAGUGGAAGACGAAGGGGGGAAGACGAGAAUGGAAGGAAUGAGUGUUUGUAUAGCUGGAGCAUCUUCCGGUGGGGGCCUUCCCUGGGCCGGGGGCCUUAGGCGACCGCCUCAGUCGCCUAAGGCUCGAGCCGGCACUG
Molecule: long non-coding RNA, 448 nt
Filed under: Phoenix dactylifera (date palm)
Lineage: Eukaryota; Viridiplantae; Streptophyta; Magnoliopsida; Arecales; Arecaceae
Description: long non-coding RNA (PDAC_LNC021095)
Source: RNAcentral